UGGAUUAUUUCACAUUGAACGCAU
RNAcentral lists this non-coding RNA (24 nucleotides) under Arabidopsis thaliana (thale cress). Lineage: Eukaryota; Viridiplantae; Streptophyta; Magnoliopsida; Brassicales; Brassicaceae. The record is from RNAcentral.